CGACCGGCGCACGGGUGAGUAACACGUAUCCAACCUGCCGAUAACUCGGGGAUAGCCUUUCGAAAGAAAGAUUAAUAUCCGAUAGCAUAUCAAGAUCGCAUGAUCUUGAUAUUAAAGAAUUUCGGUUAUCGAUGGGGAUGCGUUCCAUUAGUUAGUUGGCGGGGUAACGGCCCACCAAGGCGACGAUGCGUAGGGGUUCUGAGAGGAAGGCCCCCCACACUGGUACUGAGACACGGACCAGACUCCUACGGAAGGCAGCAG
Molecule: ribosomal RNA, 261 nt
Filed under: uncultured bacterium
Lineage: Bacteria
Description: partial 16S ribosomal RNA
Rfam family: Bacterial small subunit ribosomal RNA
Source: RNAcentral